GAUGAACGCUAGCGGCAGGCCUAACACAUGCAAGUCGAGCGGGAAGUUACUGUCUGCUGCUUGAUACCGCCGCACGGGGGCGUAACGCGUAUACAAUCCUCCUUUCACUGGGGGAUUGCCGUAAGAAAUUGGGAGCAAUUCCCCAUUGCGUAUAGAGGCGGCAACGGGGUGAUAUUAAAGCCUAGGGGGUGCAGGUGGAGCAUGCGUUCUAUUAGCUAGUUGGAGAGGUAACGGCUCCCCAAGGCGAUGAUAGAUAGGGGUUCUGAGAGGGAUGACCCCGGCACUGGUACUGGGAUCCGGACCAGACUGGUACGGGCGGCAGCGGAGAGGAGUAUUGGGGCAUGGUCGGGAGCCUGAUCCAGCCAUGCCGCGUGCAGGAUGAAGGGCUUAUGGAUUGUAAUCUGCUUUUGGAAGGGAAGAUUAAGGGAUACGCGUCGUUUGAUGACGGUACCUCACGAAUAAGCCCCGGCUACCUCCGUG
Molecule: ribosomal RNA, 480 nt
Filed under: uncultured bacterium
Lineage: Bacteria
Description: partial 16S ribosomal RNA
Rfam family: Bacterial small subunit ribosomal RNA
Source: RNAcentral